Numida meleagris (helmeted guineafowl) is the source of this 725-nucleotide long non-coding RNA. RefSeq lists it as uncharacterized. NCBI's taxonomy places the organism in Eukaryota, Metazoa, Chordata, Aves, Galliformes, Numididae. The record is from RefSeq and is a predicted model, not a curated record. The transcript is spliced from 3 exons.
UUACCUCAAUCCUAAAGGUAACCCGAACCUCAACCCUAAUGUAACACUUACUGUAACUUUACUCUUAAUUACAGUUUAAACCCUAUUUAGAAAUACACAAACGCAAUUGUAAUGGUAAUAGCCCAAACCUCUACUAACGCCUGACUGCACUGGCAACUCUUAGUGCAACCCUAAAAAUGCACUGAGACCCUGCAUAUCCAGACCCUACUCUUACACUGUAGCUCUGCUGCCCCCUGCCCUCUCUCUCCUGUUUCCCUGGCACCAUUUCCAAUCUAGGAAUCUGCAGCUGCAGGACUUGACAGCUCAAGGAAGGUCAGCCCUCAGACCACUGCACGCUGGGACCAGCACGGAGCGGCUCUGUGACGGGUACGGUAGAGCCUGUGGAUUGUACCGACAGCCGCACUCGCCCCAGGCAUCUUGGUACGGUGCUGCCGGUGGCGGCAGAGAACUGCGGUGCUCCUGAACGGUGCCUGAACUGCAUGGAGAUCUGUGGCUCCUCAUGAAGUCAGCAAGACAUGGAUAUCUGGAUUUCCUGGAAUGCCUCGGAACCCAACUUGUCUGUCUGGUAACUGGUCGCCCAUACAGGUACGGGCAAUGUACACCCACCAGUGCUUACCCAUUCCAUAGCGUGGCUCAACAUAGUCCUCCCAGAGCUUGUAACGGCGCUUAAGGGUUCCCAGAUGGCUGCCUGUCCUUUUCUUCCUGAGAUCUCCUUGCCUCUGCCU